UUAAAUUGCUGUGGUAUUUUGACUAUACAAAGGUAUUGAAAUAAGAUUUUAAUUGAAUGCUAAGAGAAUGGAUUUACGAAAAAUGACUUUUUUAAAUUCAAUAAUUGAAUUUAUUUUUAUUUGUGAAGAAACAAUAAUAAAUAUUAAGGACAAGAAGACCCUAAGAAUUUUAAAAGAAUUAAUAUUUGAAUCAAAAUUUAUAUCUUUUUAAUUGGGGCGAUUAAGAAAUAUUAAUAACUUUCUUUACAAUAUCAAAAUGAACCGUUAAUAGCGGUAAUAUGAUAAAAAUACUCUAGGGAUAACAGCGUAAUAAUUUUUGAUAGUUCAUAUAGACAAAAUAGUUUGCGACCUCGAUGUUGGAUUAGG
This 366-nucleotide ribosomal RNA is filed under the name Amblyomma longirostre. RNAcentral's name for it is "partial 16S ribosomal RNA". The record is from RNAcentral. Lineage: Eukaryota; Metazoa; Arthropoda; Arachnida; Ixodida; Ixodidae.